UACGAGGGGGGCAAGCGUUGUUCGGAAUUAUUGGGCGUAAAGGGCGCGUAGGCGGUGCGGUAAGUCUGAUGUGAAAUCUCCGGGCUCAACUCGGAGUCUGCAUGAGAAACUGCCGGGCUUGAGUAUGGGAGAGGUGAGUGGAAUUCCUGGUGUAGCGGUGAAAUGCGUAGAUAUCAGGAGGAACACCUGUGGCGAAAGCGGCUCACUGGACCAUAACUGACGCUGAUGCACGAAAGCUAGGGGAGCAAACAGG
Molecule: ribosomal RNA, 253 nt
Filed under: uncultured bacterium
Lineage: Bacteria
Description: partial 16S ribosomal RNA
Rfam family: Bacterial small subunit ribosomal RNA
Source: RNAcentral